GAUGAACGCUGGCGGCGUGCCUAAUACAUGCAAGUCGAGCGAACAGACGAGGAGCUUGCUCCUCUGACGUUAGCGGCGGACGGGUGAGUAACACGUGGAUAACCUACCUAUAAGACUGGGAUAGCUUCGGGAAACCGGAGCUAAUACCGGAUAAUAUAUUGAACCGCAUGGUUCAAUAGUGAAAGACGGUUUUGCUGUCACUUAUAGAUGGAUCCGCGCCGCAUUAGCUAGUUGGUAAGGUAACGGCUUACCAAGGCGACGAUGCGUAGCCGACCUGAGAGGGUGAUCGGCCACACUGGAACUGAGACACGGUCCAGACUCCUACGGGAGGCAGCAGUAGGGAAUCUUCCGCAAUGGGCGAAAGCCUGACGGAGCAACGCCGCGUGAGUGAUGAAGGUCUUCGGAUCGUAAAACUCUGUUAUUGGGGAAGAACAAAUGUGUAAGUAACUAUGCACGUCUUGACGGUACCUAAUCAGAAAGCCACGGCUAACUACGUG
RNAcentral lists this ribosomal RNA (497 nucleotides) under uncultured bacterium. RNAcentral's name for it is "partial 16S ribosomal RNA". It matches the Rfam family "Bacterial small subunit ribosomal RNA", at positions 28 to 507 of the family's 1533-position model. The record is from RNAcentral.